This 253-nucleotide ribosomal RNA is filed under the name uncultured bacterium. Its description in RNAcentral is "partial 16S ribosomal RNA". It matches the Rfam family "Bacterial small subunit ribosomal RNA", at positions 524 to 776 of the family's 1533-position model. The record is from RNAcentral.
UACGUAGGUGGCGAGCGUUGUCCGGAAUUACUGGGUGUAAAGGGCGUGUAGGCGGGAAUACAAGUCAGAUGUGAAAUACCGGGGCUUAACUUCGGGGCUGCAUCUGAAACUGUGUUUCUUGAGUGUCGGAGAGGAAAGUGGAAUUCCCAGUGUAGCGGUGAAAUGCGUAGAUAUUGGGAGGAACACCAGUGGCGAAGGCGACUUUCUGGACGAUAACUGACGCUGAGGCGCGAAAGCGUGGGGAGCAAACAGG